This 116-nucleotide ribosomal RNA is filed under the name Ailuropoda melanoleuca (giant panda). Lineage: Eukaryota; Metazoa; Chordata; Mammalia; Carnivora; Ursidae. The record is from RNAcentral.
GCCUACAGCCGUACCACUAAACACACCCAAGCUCGUCUGAUCUUGGAAGCUAAGCAGGGCUAGGCCUGGUUAGAACUUGGAUGGGAGACCAACUAGGAAAACCUGGUGUGUAGGGA